Oreochromis aureus is the source of this 136-nucleotide small nucleolar RNA. Ensembl annotates it as Small nucleolar RNA SNORA5. Lineage: Eukaryota; Metazoa; Chordata; Actinopteri; Cichliformes; Cichlidae. The record is from Ensembl.
UGCAGCCUUGUCAAAUUCAGUGUGUUCUUUUAAGUGGACCUCACUGGCCAAAAUGGCUGCCACAGAAACAUUGUAGUUCAUGGGCUCCACUUCUUAUACCAUGAGCAGUGGGGAUAAUUAUGUACUACAGACAAGU